RNAcentral lists this long non-coding RNA (240 nucleotides) under Lathyrus oleraceus (garden pea). RNAcentral's name for it is "Pisum sativum (pea) long non-coding RNA (PSAT_LNC028222)". The record is from RNAcentral. Lineage: Eukaryota; Viridiplantae; Streptophyta; Magnoliopsida; Fabales; Fabaceae.
GAACAUGUUGAAGACGUUGAAGAUGCUACCUUUUGUCAUAAUGUUUUUAGUUAUGACUUUUCUAAUGUUGAUGUGUAUUUUGAUCAAUACGUGGUGAUUAUGGUUUAUGUUGAUGAUGUGUAGCUUUCAUUGACGAGAUCAAGAACAUCUUGAGCGUCAAAUAACACAUGCACCCGAAUCACCCAUCGAUUCCAAUUCUUUUAAUCAAAGACUAUAAGCUUUAUGUUCAAGCUACCUUUC